RNAcentral lists this ribosomal RNA (253 nucleotides) under uncultured bacterium. RNAcentral describes it as "partial 16S ribosomal RNA". It matches the Rfam family "Bacterial small subunit ribosomal RNA", at positions 524 to 776 of the family's 1533-position model. The record is from RNAcentral.
UACGUAGGCCGCAAGCGUUGUUCGGAAUUACUGGGCGUAAAGAGUGUGUAGGCGGUGCUCUAAGUUCGGUGUGAAAUCUCCCGGCUUAACUGGGAGGGUGCGCCGGAAACUGGAGUGCUCGAGCGUGGGAGAGGAAAGCGGAAUUCCUGGUGUAGCGGUGAAAUGCGUAGAUAUCAGGAGGAACACCUGCGGUGUAGACGGCUUUCUGGACCAUUGCUGACGCUGAGACACGAAAGCGUGGGUAGCAAACAGG